CACUGAAGAGGACUGGAAGGUCUGUUGCCCCUGCAUAGUUUUAUAGAGAAAGAAGAAAACUGCAGUUGAAUGAAUGUGAGUUAGUAACAGAAAGUUCAACAAAUCCUAGUGAUGUGGGUCAGGGCAAUAAUUACAAUUCAAAUAUUCUAAAUAUAAAUGGUGGAUUCUUUCAAAAGAUUGCUUUUCCUUUAAACAGAAGAAUUAGGACAUAGUGGUCUGUGCUCUUGACAUUCUUUUGUAAGACUACUUUUAGAAAGAAAAUGUAGAAUUUGGAGCCAUAACAAUUUGAAUUUAUAUCUUUACCUCUGCCACUUGCUAAAUACAAAGUGAACUUUGAUAUUUUCUUUCAGCACCAAUUUUCUCAGAUACAAAAUUUAGUUAGUGUUACCUAUUAAGAUGAGUGACUGUGAGGAUUAAAUUUGUCCAGGGUGCACAAGCAGUUCUGUCUUGCAUAUAGUUGGCCCCUGAAAAAUAGGAUAAGAUCUUAGAUAAGAUCUGUCCUCUGUAAGUGCUUUGAGGAACUGGAAGGGGCUUCAUUGACAGUAGUUGGUGUGAGUACAUGCACACAAGUGUAUAUUUAUGUGUUUCUUCAUUUGCAUAGGCUCAUUCACUUGCACAUAAAUGCACAUGCAUUUUCUAACUCUUGGAAGACCAUGGAAUAAAGCUUUAUGUUUACAGAAAAUUAGUUUAAAGAAAG
RNAcentral lists this long non-coding RNA (697 nucleotides) under Marmota monax (woodchuck). The record is from RNAcentral. Lineage: Eukaryota; Metazoa; Chordata; Mammalia; Rodentia; Sciuridae.